UACGUAGGGUGCGAGCGUUGUCCGGAAUUAUUGGGCGUAAAGAGCUCGUAGGCGGUGUGUCACGUCGGCCGUGAAAACCUGCAGCUUAACUGUGGGCGUGCGGUCGAUACGGGCAUCACUGGAGUUCGGCAGGGGAGACUGGAAUUCCUGGUGUAGCGGUGAAAUGCGCAGAUAUCAGGAGGAACACCGGUGGCGAAGGCGGGUCUCUGGGCCGAUACUGACGCUGAGGAGCGAAAGCCGUGGGGAGCAAACAGG
RNAcentral lists this ribosomal RNA (255 nucleotides) under uncultured bacterium. Its description in RNAcentral is "partial 16S ribosomal RNA". It matches the Rfam family "Bacterial small subunit ribosomal RNA", at positions 524 to 776 of the family's 1533-position model. The record is from RNAcentral.